RNAcentral lists this ribosomal RNA (209 nucleotides) under uncultured bacterium. RNAcentral describes it as "partial 16S ribosomal RNA". It matches the Rfam family "Bacterial small subunit ribosomal RNA", at positions 1292 to 1500 of the family's 1533-position model. The record is from RNAcentral.
UUCAGAUCGCAGUCUGCAACCCGACUGCGUGAAGUCGGAAUCGCUAGUAAUCGCGGAUCAGCAUGCCGCGGUGAAUACGUUCCCGGGCCUUGUACACACCGCCCGUCACACCAUGAGAGUCGGGAACACCCGAAGUCCGUAGCCUAACCGCGAGGGGGGCGCGGCCGAAGGUGGGUUCGAUAAUUGGGGUGAAGUCGUAACAAGGUACC